UCCCUGGUGAUCCAGUGAUUAAGAUUCCUCACUUUCACUGAAAGGGCCUGGGUUCAACCCCUGGUCAGGGAA
RNAcentral lists this transfer RNA (72 nucleotides) under Ovis aries (sheep). It matches the Rfam family "tRNA". Rfam says of the family: Transfer RNA (tRNA) molecules are approximately 80 nucleotides in length. Their secondary structure includes four short double-helical elements and three loops (D, anti-codon, and T loops). The record is from Rfam by way of RNAcentral. Lineage: Eukaryota; Metazoa; Chordata; Mammalia; Artiodactyla; Bovidae.